Molecule: ribosomal RNA, 286 nt
Filed under: uncultured bacterium
Lineage: Bacteria
Description: partial 16S ribosomal RNA
Rfam family: Bacterial small subunit ribosomal RNA
Source: RNAcentral
UUUCCUACGGGACGCAGCAGUGGGGAAUAUUGGACAAUGGGGGGAACCCUGAUCCAGCGACGCCGCGUGAGUGAAGAAGUAUUUCGGUAUGUAAAGCUCUAUCAGCAGGGAAGAAAGAAAUGACGGUACCUGAAUAAGAAGCCCCGGCUAACUACGUGCCAGCAGCCGCGGUAAUACGUAGGGGGCAAGCGUUAUCCGGAUUUACUGGGUGUAAAGGGAGCGUAGACGGCGGUGCAAGGCUGGAGUGAAAGGCAGGGGCCCAACCCCUGGCCUGCUCUGGAAACUG